CCUACGGGGGGCAGCAGUGGGGAAUAUUGGUCAAUGGACGAGAGUCUGAACCAGCCAAGUAGCGUGAAGGCUGACUGCCCUAUGGGUUUUAAACUUCUUUUAUAAGGGAAUAAAACGAGGCACGUGUGCCUUUUUGCAUGUACUUUAUGAAUAAGGAUCGGCUAACUCCGUGCCAGCAGCCGCGGUAAUACGGAGGAGCCGAGCGUUAUCCGGAUUUGUUGGGUUUAAAGGGAGCGUAGAUGGGUUGUUAAGUCAGUUGUGAAAGUUUGCGGCUCAACCGUAAAAUUGCAAUUGAUACUGGCAGUCUUGAGUACAGUUGAGGUAGGCGGAAUUCGUGGUGUAGCGGUGAAAUGCUUAGAUAUCACGAAGAACCCCGAUUGCGAAGGCAGCUUACUAAACUGUGACUGACAUUGAUGCUCGAAAGUGUGGGUAUCAAACAGGAUUAGAUACCCUGGUAGUC
This 460-nucleotide ribosomal RNA is filed under the name uncultured bacterium. RNAcentral's name for it is "partial 16S ribosomal RNA". It matches the Rfam family "Bacterial small subunit ribosomal RNA", at positions 338 to 795 of the family's 1533-position model. The record is from RNAcentral.